AGCCAUCAUUUAAAGAAAGCGUAACAGCUCACUGGUCUAAUUAAGCUGUCUUGCGGCGAAGAUGUACCGGGGCUAAAGACAUGUACCGAAGCUGUGGAUGUGCACUUUGUGCACGUGGUAGCGGAGCGUUCCGUAAGCCGUUGAAGGUGUGGCGUGAGCCAUGCUGGAGGUAUCGGAAGUGAGAAUGCUGACAUGAGUAGCGAUAAAGAGUGUGAGAGACACUCUCGCCGAAAACCCAAGGGUUCCUGCGCAAGGCUAAUCCGCGCAGGGUGAGUCGGCCCCUAAGGCGAGGCUGAAAAGCGUAGUCGAUGGGAAACAGGUUA
RNAcentral lists this ribosomal RNA (323 nucleotides) under Cafeteria roenbergensis. Its description in RNAcentral is "partial Bacterial large subunit ribosomal RNA". It matches the Rfam family "Bacterial large subunit ribosomal RNA", at positions 1114 to 1432 of the family's 2925-position model. The record is from RNAcentral. Lineage: Eukaryota; Bigyra; Bicosoecida; Cafeteriaceae.